Molecule: long non-coding RNA, 703 nt
Organism: Octopus bimaculoides (California two-spot octopus)
Lineage: Eukaryota; Metazoa; Mollusca; Cephalopoda; Octopoda; Octopodidae
Source: RefSeq, a predicted model, not a curated record
UCACUGUUAUUCACGUUUACAGCAGAAGACUUACAGAAAUGGAAAGAAAUACAAAAAGAAUUUCGAAAAAGCCGAAAUAUAUAAAACUAAAAAGAAAACAGUAAGGAAAUAUAGAAAAGAAGAAGAGUCUUUGGGAGUCUGUUAGGAAUUCGAAUUGCAUUCAGCAAUUGGUUGCGUUGGUAAUCAGAUGCGAGGGAUGACGAGUGCAAAGAGAGAAAGACAUUUUAAUGCAUAGGCUGGUUACAGUUUACACAACAAGCUCUGAUAUUGCAGUAGCUGCAGCAGCUGACAUGUUAUGCAGCAUUAAAUCGGUCCUGAUUCUUGCAGCAACAACAAACGACAGCAUCAAAACAACAACAGCACCAAUAUAAAAAAAAAAAUGGAAUUAUCAUGAAAAACACCAAAUUUAAUGAGCAUAAAACUGCGCUAUGUGUAUUAUGCUUCCAAAGAAGAGAGCUUGCUGGGGAAAGAAAGCAACCGGUUUAAAAAGACAGCAACAGACUGCAGCAAUUCACCACAUUCCAGAAGCUACUUUGAACAUAAUGCAAAAUGGUGCAUCAACAUCUUCUGCCCAAUCUGUUAGACUUCUGGCAAAGAUGUGUAGCAACAGAUCGCCAGCAAUUGCUUCAUCAGAAAUUGCCAUCCUACCUCCUACGAAAAGGGAUAAAAUCCUUUUUUCUUUUUAAAAGCAUCUAUUACACUA